RNAcentral lists this unclassified non-coding RNA (206 nucleotides) under uncultured Entoloma. RNAcentral describes it as "sequence contains ITS2". Lineage: Eukaryota; Fungi; Basidiomycota; Agaricomycetes; Agaricales; Entolomataceae. The record is from RNAcentral.
AAUUCUCAACCUUCCCAACUUUGGGUUAGGAUUGGAUUCUGGGAAUUGCUGGUUGAAGUCAGCUCUCCUUAAAUGCAUUAGCAAGAUCAAUCGCUGGAUCAAUUGUGAUAUGAUAAUUAUCUAUAUCAUCAAUGAGACGGUGUUUUCCUUUUCAAAGGGAAAGAUCUAGCUUCUAAUAGUCUCUUAUUAGAGACAAUUCAUUGACU